This 735-nucleotide unclassified non-coding RNA is filed under the name Hevea brasiliensis (rubber tree). The record is from RNAcentral. Lineage: Eukaryota; Viridiplantae; Streptophyta; Magnoliopsida; Malpighiales; Euphorbiaceae.
CACCGUUUUGUAAAUCUCCCUUGUGUUAAUGAGGAAAAAUCAUAGUAUCCUUGAGGUUGAGUUGGCAUAGCUGGGAAUGUUGGAGGAGGCAUUGUUGAUGAUCUGAUAUUUGUUGUCCCAUUGAUCAGAGCUCCCUGCCCUGAACUAUGCAUGCUUGAUGCUGCAAUAUUAACCGAGUUCCCUGCUGAAAACAUUUGCUGGUUGCUCCCAAUCUGAAUAUGUUUUGGUAGAUUAGUGGUUGGCAUCAUCAUUCCAAGAACCUGAUGGCUGGCGCUUCUCCAAUUCUGACUGGAUAAAUGGAUACCAUUACCAUUCGNNNNUGACUGGAUAAAUGGAUAUCACUGGGGCUGAAUUUAUUCAUAUUGGCAGGAAAGGUUUGAGAUCCACCACUAGAUUUCACUGCAGCUGCCAUGAGGACCUGAUGUUCUNUGGGACAACAUAGCAAGCUGCUGUUGAUGGGCAGAAAAUGGAGAAAACAUACUGGACUUAUCAAAGAGAUUCAUGAUAUCAUUAUUUGCAUCUUUCUGAGGCUGCCUUAAAGAUGAUGCAAACUGGUUCUUGCAUUCAGAUAUAUUUGAUGAAUCACUUCUCCCUGAUGUUGAUUCUACCUUAGCAGAUAUGAAACCAUCGAUGGGAGUCUUGGAGAAGUUUCCACCAGAAUCAUCCAUGCAAAGCAAGUUAAAAAGUUCAGUUGCAUAAUCCACUUUUGCUGGUGUUGCAACUGGUGUUUUUUUC